Molecule: small nuclear RNA, 108 nt
Filed under: Echinops telfairi (small Madagascar hedgehog)
Lineage: Eukaryota; Metazoa; Chordata; Mammalia; Afrosoricida; Tenrecidae
Source: RNAcentral
GUGCUCACUUGGGCGGCACAUACACUAAAACUGGAACGAUACAGAGAAGACUAGCACGGCCCCUGCACACGGAUGACACAGCAAAUUCAUGAAGCGUUCCAUAUUAAA